GUGAUUUCGGGAAGAGAGAACAGAGGACUCCGGGAGAAGCCGGGAAGGGUCAGGCCCCUGCCUGGAAGGGAGAUGUUAAUUGUUACCAGAUAGCUUUUAUGAACCUGAUGGUGUCCCCACAGCUCUCAUCCAGCUCUCAACGUCCCCCGGGUUUUCUGUCUGCUGUGACCCAAGACGACCCUCAGGUCGGCGCACAGGCUCCGUCCGCUCCCGGCCUCCGCACUCGUUGCAGCGCUGCGCGUUCAGUUGCUCGGGAGCGGGCUUGGGCUGCGGCUUCCCUCUCGCCUCUCUGUCAGGUUUGGGGAUGAGAGCUGUCCCAGCCUCAGAUGCUCUGGGGCCUGUUUCCUAUUCUCCCAGCUGCGGAACGGCUCCUGUCUUGUGGUUGAAUAUUUGCAAGCUCUCCUCAGUGAGGCUCUGGGCUCGCAGCCAUUGCCGAGUCGCGUCUGUUUCUGUCCAUUUCAGUGCUUGAAGAUUGAAUUGCAGGGGUGCGGGCGCUGUAUUUCCUGACUGCGGAGCAGGGUGUUAGGGAAAGAGCUGCCUGCCUGGACCCGCGUUCUUUCUGGAUCACUGCACCCUCAUCGCCCACGCAAACAGCCCCGCACGGCCAGUCAGCUCAGCGCGGCACCGUGUAGUCAGACGUGGCGGCUGUUGGGUGCCUGGGCCCGGGGACGGCGUGCGGCCCGAAACGAUCUGAUCCGCCCAGAACAUCUUAAUGGUUUAGAUUAAGUGGGCAUGCGGGCCGAGCCUGCUCAGAUGGCAAACCCAGGCUCGCCUGUGACCGAAAGGGACUUUCUCUGAGACCAGAAGAGGGAGAGGCUGCCCCGCCGGCCCCACAGACAGACAGACAUACAAAUAAUUUGGGACCACGAACAAACUCUUGAAACCAUAAGCCAGUUCUCUGAUGCAAGUGGGAAGGACUCAUGGCAGGUGAGACUUGACCUGUACUGGGUUAUCAGGCAUCAAAUGAGAGCUCUGCGUAUAACGGGUGGGGGUGUGGGGAAUGGCCAAGGGCGUCAGCAGAGGGGGACCAGCAUUCCGCCUGCUCUCAGCCUGCUGAGCACUGACGUCUGUGUCCCUGCCAGACUGAGUUAGUCUGAAGGGGCAAGAGGCCAUCAUCAGGAUGCCACCCUCGUGGGGAUCAAGCCUGGGGGACACGGGCCAUUGCCUGGAGUCAGGGACUGCCUGCACCUUGGCCUGGGGAGGCUUCUGAGUUUGCACACAGCUCUGGCAGUUCUUAGGAUCAUCUCCGUAACUUCCACGACUUGUUUCAUUUUACUGAAGUGGGAUUCGUGUAACACGACCAUUUUAAAGUGAACGGUUCGGGGGUGUGUGGCACACUCACGGUAUUUUGGGACCACCACCCCUAUAGCGUUCUGAAACACGUCAUCACUCCAAGGGUUCCUCCCUACCCGUGCAGCUCUGACGCCCCUCCUGUCUUCCCCCAGCCCCUGGAAGCAAAACCUGCUUUCUGUCUCCGUGGGUUUGCCUGUCCUGACAUUUCCCAUAAAUGGAUUCACACAGUAUCUGCCCUUUGCAUCCAGCACCCUUCACUGAGCAGACUGUCUGCAGGGUUCACGGUGCUGCAGCGAGCGUGAGGCUCCAUCCCUUCUUAAGGCCGGAUGGUCAGUCCACGCACUUUAUGGACAGACUGCCUCUGUGUCCUCAGCUGAGGACCCUGGGGCUGUCCCCACCGUCUGCUGUCCCAUGUCUCCCGGGUAAAGCCGAGGAGUGGAAUCACUGGGUCGUGCGGCAUUUCUAUGUGUACCUUUUGGAAGAACGGCAACAUCACUCUCUAAUCCGUUAUUUUCUUUUUCUUUUUUUUUAAAUUUCAGUUAAUCACUUUAUUUGACUGCACCGGGUCCUCAUUGUGGUGCGUGAACUCCUGGUUAAGCAUGUGGUUUCCUGACCGGGAUCAAACCCAGGCCCCUGCGCUGGGAGGGCGCAGUCUUAACGUCUGGACCACCACAGGAAGUCCUUACUUUAUUUCUAAUUUCCCUUCACUUGCUCUUUCCUUUGACAGCUUAAAAAAUGGGAAGACCUUUUCAGCAAAGCAAAAGAAACAAGUCACAACUUAGGUGUGAAUUAAAUGCGACACAUUUUAAAUACACCCCAACCACGUUUGAUUUUCCCCUUGUCUUUACUUCUGCAUACAGCAUUAAUUUAUCAGAAAUCAUGAUACUGUGGCUUUGACUUGGCUUUGUCCUAAAAAGAUUUCUCGUUCAGGGCCCUGGAGGCUGCCCCAAGGCCCAGAAGGGGAAUCUGCUGGACACUGACCCCGGGCCUGUCGGCCUGGCCGGCCGGGCCUUGCCUUCUGCACUCCCUGUAGGUGGUGAGUCUGCUGGACGGUGGGCCUAGACACUGACCCUGGGCCUGUCAGCCUGGCCGGCCGGGCCUUGCCUUCUGCACUCCCUGAAGGUGCUGAGUCUGCUGGACGGGGUGGGGGGCCUGGACACUGACCCCAGGCCUGUCAGCCUGGCCGGCCGGGCCUUGCCUUCUGCACUCCCUGAAGGUGCUGAGUCUGCUGGACGGGGUGGGGGGCCUGGACACUGACCCCAGGCCUGUCAGCCUGGCCGGCGGGGCCUUGCCUUCUGCGCUCCCUGUAGGUGGUGAGUCUGCUGGACGGUGGGCUUAGACACUGACCCCGGGCCUGUCAGCCUGGCCGGCCGGGCCUUGCCUUCUGCGCUCCCUGUAGGUGGUGGUCCAGGAAGACGGGCCCUGACGCCUCCUCUUCCCAGACGCCUUUCCCCGAGCUUGAGCCUCUCUCCUCCGUGUGCUCUGCGGGCUUCCCGGUGUCUUUACGUGGCUUUGGCCGUUUACCCCGUGUUGGUGACUGCCGUCUCUGAGAAGGGGCCUGUGUCCAUGUUACCGCCUGCCGUUCUUUGUUUGAUUUUGGUGGGGCAAGUGCUUUCCUGUGAAUCUUCUUAAAAGUAUCCUUAACUAUUUUAAUAUACGUAUAUUUAUUUUUUCAGAUUCAAAGCCACUCCUUCAGAGUGAAGACAUUAAGGUCGACCUGACUGCCCCCAGGAGUUUCCUUGUGCAGCAAGCUCAGGGAUUUCCCUCCAAAAUCCUGUGAAAGCCGCUGGGUCUCCGAGGACCAGGCCUUCUUUCAGAGGAGAGGAGCUGCUUGUCUCUGAAGCAGCUCAGCAGGGGAAGGACUAUUUGCAUUGGGUUUUGUUUAAUUUGCCCGAGCCAAGCACACCGAGUCCAUUUGCCAUCACAUUAUCUAAGACAGCUCCAGAGCUUCUCAUUCUAGGAUCAAUUCCAUCCCGGAGUGACAUCCACUUAACACCCAGGGCCCCAUGCUUUUAGCUGAAUAAAGGUCAGGCCGUCCGCCGUCUCGGUGGCCGCCCAUCAUCGCAAGGGACGAGAGGCCCCCCAGGGAAGGUUAACGGAUGCAAAGCUCCGGGCUCACCUCCGCAAGCAGGAGACAUUUCCAUUUUUACUCCGUUUGGUGGGUGGGUAUUUAUGCUUUUCACUUUUAACCACUCCGUUUAGGGCGUUCACCUGGGAAACACCGUCUUGCAGGGGACCAAAGCCAUCCUUUGCCAGAAAUCUCCGCUCUGAUGAUCUGCAGAUGUGUGAACCCCGCGCCCAGUGGAAGUGGAGACGAUAAGUUAAUAGACCACAGCCCCCCUUCCAGUCACUUCUCGGAACCACAUGCGUUUUAAUUAACCCUUGUUGAUGGAACGGGGAGGGGCUGCAAGGACCCUCCUGGCGUCUCUCCCUGGGACUCACUGAGGGAAUGAGCCUGCGAUGCACAGUGAGGCUGCAGCUCCUCCGGGGACCUGGCAUGCCCGUGCCCUCUGCAGACGGCGGCACGGCCUUGGUCCUCUCUGCCCGCAGCUGAGCAUCUCUCUAGUCCACCCGCGGGCGCCGUUCCAGGCGGCGCUGGGCCCGGAAACUCCGAAGACUCGCUCAGGCUGCAGGCUGGCGUCCUGGGUUCUGCCUCGGCAUCCAGGGCCGCGCGGGUGUUUCUGCGUUUGCCUGUGACCGCGUGUCCUCAGGAGGGCUGCGAGAGGCCCCUCCGCAGGUGUGGGGUCCUUCUCAGAGUCCACUCCGGAGCUGACCCCCUUGUCUGGGCCGACCAUCACCUGGGCUUCCUUCUCCCACGCUGGCUUCUCAUUCGUGACCAUCUGUAAUAAGACGAUCCGUUUUCAUGUUUUAGUUCUGUUUCCCAGCCAUGUGCUCGGUGAUCUUCGUGGCAGUUCCUCCCGUCUGAUUCUCGUGGGUUUCCCGGGAGCCUGGGGGUUUCUGGAUGGAGCCUCCCUGUCCAAGGUCUCUGAGAGGGCCCUGGACCACGUGUGGGGUGCUGCCCUCCUGGACAGUGCCUUCUU
Molecule: long non-coding RNA, 4334 nt
Organism: Bos taurus (domestic cattle)
Lineage: Eukaryota; Metazoa; Chordata; Mammalia; Artiodactyla; Bovidae
Source: Ensembl